GCGAUAGCGAAGAGGUCACACCCGUUCCCAUACCGAACACGGAAGUUAAGCUCUUCAGCGCCGAUGGUAGUUGGGGGUUUCCCCCUGUGAGAGUAGGACGCCGCCAAGC
RNAcentral lists this ribosomal RNA (109 nucleotides) under Bacillus altitudinis. The record is from RNAcentral. Lineage: Bacteria; Bacillati; Bacillota; Bacilli; Caryophanales; Bacillaceae. RNAcentral also lists the same sequence under 2 other names.